RNAcentral lists this long non-coding RNA (2445 nucleotides) under Sparus aurata (gilthead seabream). Its description in RNAcentral is "lncRNA (ENSSAUG00010013296.1)". The record is from RNAcentral. Lineage: Eukaryota; Metazoa; Chordata; Actinopteri; Spariformes; Sparidae.
AUGGCGGCGGCCCUGCGGAGGGUGUGCAGCGGAGUGACUUCGAGAGUUUCUCUUCUGAACUGCAGCCGACAGACACUGCAGCGCAGCAUCAACACUGGUCGUGGCUUCCUGCCCCGGCUUCGGCCCCUCCCUCUCCUUCUAGUGACAGGUGGUGGUUACCUUGGUUACCAUCACUUCAGGACAAGGGACCAACAGGAGGAUGGAGCCCCGCCUCCUUUGGCCACACCCACACAGGUAGGAGUUAGGACUCUUUUUCCUUCUGGUUUUUCUGGUUCUGGUUCUUUCGCUGAAUUCACGUGCAUUCAGGCAAAUCGAUCAUGUCAUAUUUUUUUGGCUAAACAAAGUUGGCAGCUAGCCACAUAGCUUGCUAAGAUAAUAUAGGCAUUUAGCAGAUACAUCUGUCCAAAGCAACUUACAAUAGAUACAUUUGUCGCAUGACAGACAUGUCACAGUCAAUAGACUAAAAAGAAUAAUGGAAACAAUUGUAAAGCCUUCAUCUGAGCAUCGUGGCUGCUAUUUAUCAAGGAUACUUUAAGUGUAAGCGAGUUUAAGUGCUAUGAUUAGAGUGCUAUUGAUAAGAACAUUAAGAACACUUUUUAUACUUAUACGUUUUAAUAUAGCCCAACACUGGUCCAGCAGCUCGGUGCUGACCCUGAACACGUCCUGUGUGACUACAGUGCCGUGUUGACCCACGCUCGAUGCUGACCCUGAACACGUCCUGUGUGACUACAGUGCCGUGUUGACCCACGCUCGGUGCUGACCCUGAACACGUCCCGUGUGACUACAGUGCCGUGUUGACCCACGCUCGAUGCUGACCCUGAACACGUCCCGUGUGACUACAGUGCCGUGUUGACCCACGCUCGGUGCUGACCCUGAACACGUCCCGUGUGACUACAGUGCCGUGUUGACCCACGCUCGGUGCUGACCCUGAACACGUCCUGUGUGACUACAGUGCCGUGUUGACCCACGCUCGGUGCUGACCCUGAACACGUCCUGUGUGACUACAGUGCCGUGUUGACCCACGCUCGGUGCUGACCCUGAACACGUCCUGUGUGACUACAGUGCCGUGUUGACCCACGCUCGGUGCUGACCCUGAACACGUCCCGUGUGACUACAGUGCCGUGUUGACCCACGCUCGGUGCUGACCCUGAACACGUCCUGUGUGACUACAGUGCCGUGUUGACCCACACUCGGUGCUGACCCUGAACACGUCCUGUGUGACUACAGUGCCGUGUUGACCCACGCUCAGUGCUGACCCUGAACACGUCCUGUGUGACUACAGUGCCGUGUUGACCCACACUCGAUGCUGACCCUGAACACGUCCUGUGUGACUACAGUGCCGUGUUGACCCACGCUCGAUGCUGACCCUGAACACGUCCUGUGUGACUACAGUGCCGUGUUGACCCACACUCGAUGCUGACCCUGAACACGUCCUGUGUGACUACAGUGCCGUGUUGACCCACACUCGAUGCUGACCCUGAACACGUCCUGUGUGACUACAGUGCCGUGUUGACCCACACUCGAUGCUGACCCUGAACACGUCCUGUGUGACUACAGUGCCGUGUUGACCCACGCUCGGUGCUGACCCUGAACACGUCCUGUGUGACUACAGUGCCGUGUUGACCCACGCUCAGUGCUGACCCUGAACACGUCCUGUGUGACUACAGUGCCGUGUUGACCCACACUCGGUGCUGACCCUGAACACGUCCUGUGUGACUACAGUGCCGUGUUGACCCACGCUCGGUGCUGACCCUGAACACGUCCUGUGUGACUACAGUGCCGUGUUGACCCACGCUCGGUGCUGACCCUGAACACGUCCCGUGUGACUACAGUGCCGUGUUGACCCACGCUCAGUGCUGACCCUGAACACGUCCUGUGUGACUACAGUGCCGUGUUGACCCACACUCGGUGCUGACCCUGAACACGUCCUGUGUGACUACAGUGCCGUGUUGACCCACGCUCAGUGCUGACCCUGAACACGUCCUGUGUGACUACAGUGCCGUGUUGACCCACACUCGAUGCUGACCCUGAACACGUCCUGUGUGACUACAGUGCCGUGUUGACCCACGCUCGAUGCUGACCCUGAACACGUCCUGUGUGACUACAGUGCCGUGUUGACCCACACUCGAUGCUGACCCUGAACACGUCCUGUGUGACUACAGUGCCGUGUUGACCCACACUCGAUGCUGACCCUGAACACGUCCUGUGUGACUACAGUGCCGUGUUGACCCACACUCGAUGCUGUAUGUGCUCACUGGGUGAAAGGUGACAGUGAUGUCACAGUGAUGAGGUCACAGUGUCAAUGUCACUCUGCUCCCUGCACUGACACAUCACUCAGUCAGGCCCCGCCCCUCUUCCCACUUCCACACCUGCCUCCUGAUUGGUUCAUUCAUUGGGAAAAUGGUCUGAUUUGUUGAUGAUUAACCGGGCAGGACAGAGGGAGGC